This 343-nucleotide ribosomal RNA is filed under the name uncultured bacterium. RNAcentral's name for it is "bacterial SSU rRNA". It matches the Rfam family "Bacterial small subunit ribosomal RNA", at positions 28 to 372 of the family's 1533-position model. The record is from RNAcentral.
GACGAACGCUGGCGGCGUGCUUAACACAUGCAAGUCGAGCGGUAAGGCCCUUUCGGGGGUACACGAGCGGCGAACGGGUGAGUAACACGUGGGUGACCUGCCCUCAGCUCUGGGAUAAGCCUGGGAAACCGGGUCUAAUACUGGAUAUGACUCCAUGACGCAUGUUGUGGGGUGGAAAGCCUUGUGCGGCUGAGGAUGGGCCCGCGGCCUAUCAGCUUGUUGGUGGGGUGAUGGCCUACCAAGGCGACGACGGGUAGCCGGCCUGAGAGGGCGACCGGCCACACUGGGACUGAGACACGGCCCAGACUCCUACGGGAGGCAGCAGUGGGGAAUCUUGCGCAAU